UACUAACCAGGCCCAACGUUGCUUAACUUGACAGAUCGGACGAGAUGUCGUGCUUUCAACGUGGUAUGGUCGUAGAC
Molecule: ribosomal RNA, 77 nt
Filed under: Brugia malayi
Lineage: Eukaryota; Metazoa; Nematoda; Chromadorea; Rhabditida; Onchocercidae
Source: RNAcentral